This 251-nucleotide ribosomal RNA is filed under the name uncultured bacterium. RNAcentral describes it as "partial 16S ribosomal RNA". It matches the Rfam family "Bacterial small subunit ribosomal RNA", at positions 524 to 776 of the family's 1533-position model. The record is from RNAcentral.
GACGGGGGGGGCAAGUGUUCUUCGGAAUGACUGGGCGUAAAGGGCACGUAGGCGGUGAAUCGGGUUGAAAGUGAAAGUCGCCAAAAAGUGGCGGAAUGCUCUCGAAACCAAUUCACUUGAGUGAGACAGAGGAGAGUGGAAUUUACGGUGUAGCGGUGAAAUGCGUAGAUAUCGUAAGGAAGACCAGUGGCGAAGGCGGGUCUCUGGACAGUUCCUGACGCUGAAGCACGAAGGCCAGGGGAGCAAACGGG